AAAGGUAGUGUCUACAGAUACGGACCCGUACCCGUAGCCUGUGGCCUACGGAUACGGCACUUUCCCUUAUCAUAAAUAUUAAUGAGACGUACAUGAAUAUUAAUGAGCCGGCUGAUGAACGCGCUUUGUGAUUGGCUGGUAAUCCGACUGAUGAAGGCGCUUCCGUGAUUCGAGGUGAAUCUGCGUGCCGAGCCUGUCAUGUCAGUCAUCUGCUGUUCUCUUUUCUAUCAUGCAUAAUGUCUUAUAAAUAUCAUUAUCUGACUUUUUCACGGACAGCGAUUUGGGGGUUGAAAUCAGCACUACUAUUAAAUAUAGCAAAACUUUUUAUUCACGUGACCCUGUUCUAAUAAAGCACAAACAGCAAACAAAACAAAUGGCGGAACUAACAGCCAGCAAACUACAAGUAUUUUUUUACCUUCAAAAGUAGCGACAGACUAUUACAUAAUAACAACCUAAACAAAACCCUGACGUAUUUUCUGCGUCUGGCAACACAGACACUGCACGUCAGUCACUUUAAUGUUAGCGGACUCUGUUGAAUGGCUAAGUUACAUCACCACAAACAAAUCUCACAAUAUCACAGUAAAUCGAGUUUGUGGGUUUUUUUUAAUUCAUGCCGAAUUAAAGAGCUGCUCCUCACCA
This is a long non-coding RNA of Acanthochromis polyacanthus (spiny chromis), 639 nucleotides long. RefSeq lists it as uncharacterized. The record is from RefSeq and is a predicted model, not a curated record. The transcript has 2 exons. NCBI's taxonomy places the organism in Eukaryota, Metazoa, Chordata, Actinopteri, Pomacentridae.